This 259-nucleotide unclassified non-coding RNA is filed under the name plant metagenome. RNAcentral's name for it is "partial contains small subunit ribosomal RNA, internal transcribed spacer 1, and 5.8S ribosomal RNA". The record is from RNAcentral.
CGUAGGUGAACCUGCGGAAGGAUCAUUAUUGUGUAACCGAGGUGCGAGGGCUGUCGCUGACCCGAAAGGUCGUGCACGCCCGAGUGCCCUCACACACAUCCAUCUCACCCCUAUGUGCACCACCGCGUGGGUCCCCCUUUGGCUUGUUCGGAGGGGGGCUUACGUUUUCACACAAACUUUGUAUGCAGUGUAGAAUGUAUUUUUUGUUUUUGCGAUCACGCAAUCAAUACAACUUUCAACAACGGAUCUCUUGGCUCUC